GUUAGAGGUUUCUAUAUUGCUAUUAUUUGGUGGUCACCUCUAACGAUUUUGAAUCCAACUGUUGAGUACUUCAGUUGCAUAUAGGUUUUUUUGGUAGUGUGGUAGUGCUAGAGCAUUGAUCUAUCUUUCUACUGCCUAAUGGAGAAAAUUAAGUAUGCAUAUAUGAAAAAUUAACUGCACAGAUGUGGAAAACUUGCCAUUCUUUUGGGUAAUCCAUAAUGAUUGGAAUACGGAAAUUACUGUUGGAAGAGUUUGCAAGAAUUUUCAUUUUACUACUUUCUUAACAAAUGUUUGUUGCCAUACCUUGAUCUAGCACAGUUAAAAGUAUUUUACUCAUGGCAUCUAGUUGGGAUGCAUUCAAUAAAAUAUAACAAACUUGAUAAAAGGGACAUUCAUUUUCG
This 401-nucleotide unclassified non-coding RNA is filed under the name Hevea brasiliensis (rubber tree). The record is from RNAcentral. Lineage: Eukaryota; Viridiplantae; Streptophyta; Magnoliopsida; Malpighiales; Euphorbiaceae.